This 259-nucleotide unclassified non-coding RNA is filed under the name Hevea brasiliensis (rubber tree). The record is from RNAcentral. Lineage: Eukaryota; Viridiplantae; Streptophyta; Magnoliopsida; Malpighiales; Euphorbiaceae.
GGCAGAGAAAGGUCUUCAUUGAGUAUAUAAUUAAUGUUUUUAGACCAUAUUCCAACCAAAACCAUUGCAUUAGCUGCGAAUUGGAUGUUUAAAAUAUAUAUAUAAUUUUCGGAGGCUUGCCCCCUCCCUCCCCUCAUUGUUGCAUUUAACCAUUGCGGUGAAUUUUUUUACAGGAAUUUUUUUUUUAAUUUAUAAGAAGAGACAAAGGAAAAUAAAUUAUGAGGAUUUUGAUUUUUCCAUUCUUGAGAAGAUAUUUAAG